RNAcentral lists this ribosomal RNA (497 nucleotides) under uncultured bacterium. RNAcentral describes it as "bacterial SSU rRNA". It matches the Rfam family "Bacterial small subunit ribosomal RNA", at positions 28 to 513 of the family's 1533-position model. The record is from RNAcentral.
GAUGAACGCUAGCUACAGGCUUAACACAUGCGAGUCGAGGGGCAGCAUGAUUGAAGCUUGCUUCAAUUGCCGGCGACCGGCGCACGGGUGAGUAACGCGUAUCCAACCUUCCGUACACUCAGGGAUAGCCUUUCGAAAGAAAGAUUAAUACCUGAUGGUAUGAUGAGAUCGCAUGGUAUCAUCAUUAAAGAUUUAUCGGUGUACGAUGGGGAUGCGUUCCAUUAGGUAGUAGGCGGGGUAACGGCCCACCUAGCCUACGAUGGAUAGGGGGUUCUGAGAGGAAGGUCCCCCACAUUGGAACUGAGACACGGUCCAAACUCCUACGGGAGGCAGCAGUGAGGAAUAUUGGUCAAUGGACGAGAGUCUGAACCAGCCAAGUAGCGUGAAGGAUGAAGGUCCCUACGGAUUGUAAACUUCUUUUAUAAGGGAAUAAAACCUCCACGUNUGGGAGCUUGUAUGUACCUUAUGAAUAAGCAUCGGCUAACUCCGUGCCAGCA